GACGAACGCUGGCGGCGUGCUUAACACAUGCAAGUCGAACGGAAAGGCCCUGCUUUUGUGGGGUGCUCGAGUGGCGAACGGGUGAGUAACACGUGAGUAACCUGCCCUUGACUUUGGGAUAACUUCAGGAAACUGGGGCUAAUACCGGAUAGGAGCUCCUGCUGCAUGGUGGGGGUUGGAAAGUUUCGGCGGUUGGGGAUGGACUCGCGGCUUAUCAGCUUGUUGGUGGGGUAGUGGCUUACCAAGGCUUUGACGGGUAGCCGGCCUGAGAGGGUGACCGGCCACAUUGGGACUGAGAUACGGCCCAGACUCCUACGGGAGGCAGCAGUGGGGAAUAUUGCACAAUGGGCGGAAGCCUGAUGUAGCAACGCCGCGUGCGGGAUGACGGCCUUCGGGUUGUAAACCGCUUUCGCCUGUGACGAAGCGUGAGUGACGGUAAUGGGUAAAGAAGCACCGGCUAACUACGUG
This 468-nucleotide ribosomal RNA is filed under the name uncultured bacterium. RNAcentral's name for it is "partial 16S ribosomal RNA". It matches the Rfam family "Bacterial small subunit ribosomal RNA", at positions 28 to 507 of the family's 1533-position model. The record is from RNAcentral.